ACGGGAGGCAGCAGUGAGGAAUAUUGGUCAAUGGACGAGAGUCUGAACCAGCCAAGUAGCGUGCAGGAUGACGGCCCUAUGGGUUGUAAACCGCUUUUGUACGGGAAUAAAGUGACCUACGUGUAGGUUUUUGCAUGUACCGUAAGAAUAAGGACCGGCUAAUUCCGUGCCAGCAGCCGCGGUAAUACGGAAGGUCCGGGCGUUAUCCGGAUUUAUUGGGUUUAAAGGGAGCGUAGGCCGUGCUUUAAGCGUGUUGUGAAAUGUAGGCGCCCAACGUCUGCACUGCAGCGCGAACUGGAGCGCUUGAGUACGCAGGAAGUAGGCGGAAUUCGUCGUGUAGCGGUGAAAUGCUUAGAUAUGACGAAGAACUCCGAUUGGGAAGCCAGCUUACUGUAGCGCCACUGACGCUGAUGCUCGAAAGCGUGGGUAUCGAACAGGAUUAGAUACCCUGGUA
RNAcentral lists this ribosomal RNA (454 nucleotides) under uncultured Prevotella sp. Its description in RNAcentral is "partial 16S ribosomal RNA". It matches the Rfam family "Bacterial small subunit ribosomal RNA", at positions 341 to 792 of the family's 1533-position model. Lineage: Bacteria; Pseudomonadati; Bacteroidota; Bacteroidia; Bacteroidales; Prevotellaceae. The record is from RNAcentral.